UAGGGAAUAUUGGACAAUGGGUGAGAGCCUGAUCCAGCCAUGCCGCGUGCAGGAAGAAGGCGUUAUGCGUUGUAAACUGCUUUUUGCCAGGGGAUAAAAUGAGCGUGCGCGCUUAAUUGAAGGUACCUGGUGAAUAAGCCACGGCUAACUACGUGCCAGCAGCCGCGGUAAUACGUAGGUGGCAAGCGUUGUCCGGAUUUAUUGGGUUUAAAGGGUGCGUAGGUGGCCCUGUAAGUCAGUGGUGAAAUAUCUCAGCUUAACUGAGAGGGUGCCAUUGAUACUGCAGGGCUUGAGUACAGAUGAGGUAGGCGGAAUUGACGGUGUAGCGGUGAAAUGCAUAGAUAUCGUCAAGAACACCGAUAGCGAAGGCAGCUUACCAAGCUGUAACUGACACUGAGGCACGAAAGUGUGGGGAGCAAACAGGAUUAGAUACCCACGUAGUCCCUGAGCGGGCUGGCAAGGCGCAU
RNAcentral lists this ribosomal RNA (467 nucleotides) under uncultured bacterium. RNAcentral's name for it is "bacterial SSU rRNA". It matches the Rfam family "Bacterial small subunit ribosomal RNA", at positions 355 to 825 of the family's 1533-position model. The record is from RNAcentral.